RNAcentral lists this ribosomal RNA (253 nucleotides) under uncultured bacterium. RNAcentral's name for it is "partial 16S ribosomal RNA". It matches the Rfam family "Bacterial small subunit ribosomal RNA", at positions 524 to 776 of the family's 1533-position model. The record is from RNAcentral.
UACGGAGGGUGCAAGCGUUAUCCGGAUUCACUGGGUUUAAAGGGUGCGUAGGUGGGCAAGUAAGUCAGUGGUGAAAUCUCCGGGCUUAACCCGGAAACUGCCAUUGAUACUAUUUGUCUCGAAUACUGUGGAGGUCAGCGGAAUAUGUCAUGUAGCGGUGAAAUGCUUAGAUAUGACAUAGAACACCAAUUGCGAAGGCAGCUGGCUACACAAAUAUUGACACUGAGGCACGAAAGCGUGGGGAUCAUACAGG